AGUGGCGGACGGGUGAGUAACACGUGAGAAUCUGCCUUGGGGUCGGGGACAACCACUGGAAACGGUGGCUAAUACCGGAUAAGCCGAUUGGUGAAAGAUUUAUUGCCCGAAGAGGAGCUCGCGUCUGAUUAGCUAGUUGGUGAGGUAAGAGCUCACCAAGGCAGCGAUCAGUAGCUGGUCUGAGAGGACGAUCAGCCACACUGGGACUGAGACACGGCCCAGACUCCUACGGGAGGCAGCAGUGGGGAAUUUUCCGCAAUGGGCGAAAGCCUGACGGAGCAAGACCGCGUGAGGGAGGAAGGCUCUUGGGUUGUAAACCUCUUUUCUCAGGGAAGAAGCUCUGACGGUACCUGAGGAAUCAGCCUCGGCUAACUCCGUGCCAGCAGCCGCGGUAAUACGGAGGAGGCAAGCGUUAUCCGGAAUUAUUGGGCGUAAAGCGUCCGCAGGUGGCGAUUCAAGUCUGCUGUCAAAGCACGGGGCUUAACUCCGUAAAGGCAGUGGAAACUGAAUAGCUAGAGUGCCGUAGGGGUAGAGGGAAUUCCCGGUGUAGCGGUGAAAUGCGUAGAGAUCGGGAAGAACAUCGGUGGCGAAAGCGCUCUACUGGACGGCAACUGACACUCAGGGACGAAAGCUAGGGGAGCGAAUGGGAUUAGAUACCCC
This 660-nucleotide ribosomal RNA is filed under the name uncultured bacterium. RNAcentral describes it as "bacterial SSU rRNA". It matches the Rfam family "Bacterial small subunit ribosomal RNA", at positions 94 to 788 of the family's 1533-position model. The record is from RNAcentral.